Molecule: long non-coding RNA, 1108 nt
Filed under: Gallus gallus (chicken)
Lineage: Eukaryota; Metazoa; Chordata; Aves; Galliformes; Phasianidae
Source: RNAcentral
CGGCAAGCUGGCGGUCUUGAAAAGCCACGUACACAGUGAAUGCAUUUUCCAGAACUCUCGCACAUUCAGGGCCUGGUCUUUCCAACGCAGUUGCUGUGCAGUUUGAAUACAGUCACGAGAAAAUAAGGAUAUGGGGAAGAGAAUGACUUGAAGACAGCAUUACCAAAUGACUUUCACCCACAAGGGAAGAACAUGGCUUUCAGGAAUUUGGUGGUGGUGGCGUUUGCUCAGCAGCACCAGGCUUUCACCUCCAUCCUUUCUUAACGAUCGGACACAUGUGCAAUAGACUCUCGAUGCAUGCACUGCAGGGCUGUGAUUUCAUAUAACUACCUGUGUAGAUGUAUGCCUAACUUUAAGUUUGUCAUUUGACUGUGGAGGAGUAGAACAGCUCAGUUGCCCUUGCUGUUGGCUGUUGUGAAUGGACAGGAUGAAUACUUUAAGAAACAGGAAAAGAUACAUUUAGAGCAAAAAAUCAUUCUCCUUGAUGAAUUGAAUGUAAUGGGUGGUCACUUCUACAGUAGGACCUUUGAACAUGUUCAGAAACAAGCAAAAUUUAAUAGUAACUCCAGAAAAUACUCUUUUUAAUUCCUUUUCCCAGUUUCUUUUCCUAAUUUCUUUAUUAAAUAGGCCUGACAUGUCACAUUCCAUGGUCUCAGUGUUGAGAUACUUAGAGUUAUAAAAUCCUAUUAGAUUACUGGCAGCCCUUUCAGCGUUGAAACUGAAAGCUGGAUGAUAUGAAAACAGAGCAGAUUGUGCCUGACCAAUCUGGUGGACUGCUACGACAGGGUGACUGCCUUCAUGUAUAAUGGAAGAUUUUGUCUACCUGGAAUUCUGCAAGGCCUUUGACACAGUUCUGUGGUUCUAUGAUUCCAUAAUUCUAUGAUUCUAUGAUGUCAGUGGGACCAAGCAUUCAACUCAACUCUUUCCUGCUGUGGAGUGUUGGGCAGUGAAACACAAAAACGUCACGUGCAGGAGUACAGCCCAGAGUCCUCUAGCUGGGCAUCUGUUAUCUCCAGGCUCCCAUUAUGAAACACCCUAAAUUUGUCGGUCUCCAUGUCUGGCUCCAGCAAUUUAUUCUCUGGACUAACCCAAACGAAGUGUGUGCCUG